Molecule: ribosomal RNA, 448 nt
Filed under: uncultured bacterium
Lineage: Bacteria
Description: bacterial SSU rRNA
Rfam family: Bacterial small subunit ribosomal RNA
Source: RNAcentral
GUCCAGACUCCUACGGGAGGCAGCAGUGGGGGAUAUUGCACAAUGGGGGAAACCCUGAUGCAGCGACGCCGCGUGGGUGAAGAAGCGCCUCGGCGCGUAAAGCCCUGUCAGCAGGGAAGAAAAUGACGGUACCCGAAGAAGAAGCCCCGGCUAACUACGUGCCAGCAGCCGCGGUAAUACGUAGGGGGCAAGCGUUAUCCGGAUUUACUGGGUGUAAAGGGGGCGCAGACGGCGAUGCAAGCCAGGAGUGAAAGCCCGGGGCCCAACCCCGGGACUGCUCUUGGAACUGCGUGGCUGGAGUGCAGGAGGGGCAGGCGGAAUUCCUGGUGUAGCGGUGAAAUGCGUAGAUAUCAGGAGGAACACCGGUGGCGAAGGCGGCCUGCUGGACUGCAACUGACGUUGAGGCCCGAAAGCGUGGGGAGCAAACAGGAUUAGAUACCCUAGUAGA